Molecule: non-coding RNA, 128 nt
Organism: Triticum aestivum (bread wheat)
Lineage: Eukaryota; Viridiplantae; Streptophyta; Magnoliopsida; Poales; Poaceae
Source: Rfam
UUUAUACUCCCUUCGUCUCAAAAUUCUUGUCUUAGAUUUGUCUAGAUACGGAUGUAUCUAAUACUAAAACAUGGCUUGAUACAUCCAGACAAAUCUAAGACAAAAUUUUGGGACGGCGGGAGUAUUAC